RNAcentral lists this non-coding RNA (22 nucleotides) under Arabidopsis thaliana (thale cress). The record is from RNAcentral. Lineage: Eukaryota; Viridiplantae; Streptophyta; Magnoliopsida; Brassicales; Brassicaceae.
UACCUAUGAGAUGUUUGUUUGC